AGAGUUUGAUCCUGGCUCAGGAUGAACGCUGGCGGCGUGCCUAACACAUGCAAGUCGAACGAAGCAUUUAUCAUGAAGUUUUCGGAUGGAUUGAUAACUGACUUAGUGGCGGACGGGUGAGUAACGCGUGGGCAACCUGCCUCAUACAGGGGGAUAACAGCUGGAAACGGCUGCUAAAACCGCAUAAGCGCACAGUAUCGCAUGGUACGGUGUGAAAAUAUUUAUAGGUAUGAGAUGGGCCCGCGUCUGAUUAGCUAGUUGGUAAGGUAACGGCUUACCAAGGCGACGAUCAGUAGCCGGCUUGAGAGAGUGACCGGCCACAUUGGGACUGAGACACGGCCCAAACUCCUACGGGAGGCAGCAGUGGGGAAUAUUGCACAAUGGGGGAAACCCUGAUGCAGCGACGCCGCGUGAGUGAAGAAGUAUUUCGGUAUGUAAAGCUCUAUCAGCAGGGAAGAAAAUGACGGUACCUGACUAAGAAGCCCCGGCUAACUACGUGCCAGCAGCCGCGGUAAUACGUAGGGGGCAAGCGUUAUCCGGAUUUACUGGGUGUAAAGGGAGCGUAGGUGGCAUGGUAAGUCAGAUGUGAAAGCCCGGGGCUCAACCCCGGGACUGCAUUUGAAACUAUCAUGCUAGAGUGCAGGAGAGGUAAGUGGAAUUCCUAGUGUAGCGGUGAAAUGCGUAGAUAUUAGGAGGAACACCAGUGGCGAAGGCGGCUUACUGGACUGUAACUGACACUGAGGCUCGAAAGCGUGGGGAGCAAACAGGAUUAGAUACCCUGGUAGUCCACGCCGUAAACG
This 800-nucleotide ribosomal RNA is filed under the name uncultured bacterium. Its description in RNAcentral is "bacterial SSU rRNA". It matches the Rfam family "Bacterial small subunit ribosomal RNA", at positions 8 to 808 of the family's 1533-position model. The record is from RNAcentral.